Gasterosteus aculeatus aculeatus (three-spined stickleback) is the source of this 3454-nucleotide non-coding RNA. NCBI's taxonomy places the organism in Eukaryota, Metazoa, Chordata, Actinopteri, Perciformes, Gasterosteidae. The record is from RefSeq and is a predicted model, not a curated record.
GUCAGCAGAGGAGAAGGUAUUCAGAUCCGUUACUGAGGUAAAGGUACUGAUACCACCUCGUCAAAGUACUCCAGCAACAGUAAAAAGCACUGCAUCUUAAACCUGUAAAAGUACCAAUUCUUCAGUGAGAUGCUCCCGUUGUUGUUGUUCAUGUGGGGGUCAUCACAGGUCACCCAGGGAGAAGCACGGCCUGCUUUCAGCUUUGUGACCACGCGUUUUCCAGCUGAAGAGGCUUUUUUGAGGCGCUUUGUUUGGCUGGAAAAGUGAACACUUCAUCACUCGGUUUAUCUCUCAACAUCAACAUCUGGAGCAGCGUGUUUUUAUCUGGACUGAUGGAAGACUUUCAUCUGAGGAGUCACGCAGACGCAUGAGUGGAAAAAAGUACAACGUGCUUGCUGAGAAAUACUCCGGCACAAGUACUUUAGAUCGUAGUACUGGAGUAAAUGUACUUUUUGCAUGGAUCAUAUGGUUAAGAUCAGCCUGCUGUGUGUGUGUGUGUGUGUGUGAGUGUGUGUUUCAGCUCUUGUGACCUCUUAAUAUCGCAUCACAUGUCUGAUCUUAUUCUUGUCUGCCAUCUGAACUCCUGUCAUGUGCUCUUUUUUGCCCAAUCCGUCACACUUAAUCUGUGCGGAAAGCAAAAAAAUCUUAAAGAGCAGAGCCUCCAGCGCCCCGGGAGCGCUCCGGGGGGAGAGAGGGGAGAAACAAAAGAAGAAGAAGAAGGAAGAAAAUCACAACGGCGUAUCGUUUCAGGGGCAUGAAUGGCAUCAAUGAUCCGCUGAGGGGGAUAAACGGGGCGAGAGAAAGAUGAGGGAACAAUGUGCCCGUUGUUCGGUAAUCUGGGGUAAAUCGUCUGUCUCUCUCGCUGUCAGGUGUGGAGCUGGAGCUCGUGCUUCAAGGGUUUCCCCGGGACGGCGCUGUCCUAAUGAUUUAGACGGCUCUCUGCCCUCGUCUCCCUCCUUCAGCAGAGCGGGAGGACUCGCCGAGAAGCGACGCCGCCGACGCCGGGGGAAAGUGAACAGCGUUCAUGCUUAAUCCCCCACAAAGGUCAACAAGGUUCAACGUGCCGGCGAAUAAAAAAGUAGAACGCAAGACUUCAAGGUCGUAGUUAAGUGCAGACGGUGGAACAAGGAUUCAGAUAUUUUAAUCAGAAGGGCUAAAUUCCAACCGCAGGGCAUAUCUUUUAGUUCUCUAAACAGCACUGAUCAGUGUCGCGGAGCCAGUUGGUCCCGUCGAGGGAUCAAUUAAGUUGUGGUACAAACUCAUUGACCUUGAUGGAAAUAACAAGAUAAAGUCUAAAGAACAGAGCAGUCGACAGUGGAGCAGAAUACUAAAGUGGCAUAAAAUGGGAACUAGAUCUUAGAUUGUCUCUGGUUUGGUUGAUUUUCAUGAGAUUUCUGCAGCUGAGGACCGACGUUGAUGAGAAGUUCUGGUCAUUUUCCAGCCGUGGUACUCAAAGUCAUUUCAAAAGCGCUCUGCUGACCAUCGUCUCAGUUUUACUCGUUCUUGAUUUGUGUCCUCGGAGGAUCUCGGGGGGAAACGCGCUUCCCUCGAUGCGGAACGUGAGCCCCGCUUUGAGUUCCCAUCCGGGGGAAAAGUUCACAUCCCAAAGGGCCGAAAACACGCGUGAUUUCCUUGAGUUUAGCACAUGUACGACUGGCUCACACACACAGUACACGUGUGUACUUUCGUGCGUUAUGAGCACAGAAAACCUUUCUUUACUCAGUCAAAUUGAGUUUGCACGUAAAUCCAGAUGAGCGUGAUUAAUGACUGUACAAACAGUCGUGAAGGGGAACACAUGGCCGCGUUUCCCCCGGGCGCCGUCGUUGCGUCCACUGCUUUGCCAAAACGAGCAGCCGACGCCUGUUGGAGAUUAGAUUUUUAAUUAAAGAGAUUGAUGAUUUUACAUUUUCGCGGGAAACAAGUUUAUUCUCUUUUUCUCGCGGGAAGUUCGCGGUGGGGAUUGUUGCCACUCUGGAGUCUGCACAAUGGACAUGGUUAGCUUAGCUUAGCAUAAAGUUGACCUGCAAUCACGUCCGAAGCUCAUUUAUAUUUGAGAAAAACAAAAAAUUGAAUACAAGUAGUGUCCUGCAUCCACUUAUAGUGAAAGUCAUUGGCUCCGCGGACUAUGUUGCUGGAUCCUUGCAGCUGAACUCGUGUAUUGAUGACUUUAUCGCCGCGGCUAGCGGCGCCGAUUGCGAUCACAUUUCACGCUUCUGGGUAGCUUGUGACGUCUCACGGCGUAACCGGGAGACGAGUUCAUAAACACCCUCGGCGUUUCUCCCUUCAAAGCCCCGUUAAAUGCUUUUUUAUGAGAGGAGCUGGAAGCAAUGGACUUCUACAAAAAGCUGAGAACAUGUGGCAGGAAGUGCAGCUGCUCCGCGUUUGACCCGAGCUCUUGGCACCAGCUUUUACGCGUCAAAUUAAAAGCGAGAGUGCCGCGGACAGGACAGCGUUGACCCUCUUGUACCGCCCCACCGAGGGCAUUUUCAGCCGUCUUUUACUGCACUUUUUUAUGACAUGAUUUUCCUUCCUGAACAAUUUUCUUUGCACUUGGCAUCGAAAGUGUCCAUAAAUUCAACAUCUCGUGAGCAGAUAAUGGAGGCUUCACGAGGGGGAAGUCGGUCAGCUCAGACAGCAAUCAAAUCCUUGUCUGUAGCACUUAAUGUCACGUGAGGGCUGUUAUUGUUCCGCGCUGCACUUUGUCUAAUAGCUGCUGCCGUCACGUCUCAUUCAUCACACGGAUUCGGGUUUUCUAAGGGCCGCCGUGCUUCACUGUAUUACAGCUUAGCCGUGUUUUUGUUUGAUCGGUAUAUGAUUACAAGGCUGACCGGCUGCCAUUAUACCUGCAACGGCACGCUGGAGGGUGAGCUCCCCUUUGUUUGACUCGAGUGCUGCAGCGCCGUGGUGGAAAAGUCGGAUAAAACAUCUUCCAUCGUUUCCCUCUGCUUUUAUUGUGAAAGGCCCAACUUGUAGGAGACCCUGGGGUCGACCCGGGACCAGGAGAGACUGCGUUGUCCUCUGGCCUGGUGAGACCUACAAGGCUCGGUUUAUUACUCAACUCUGCUGCCAAGGCCUCGUGGAAGCAGCCGAGGAAUCGAUGGAAGGGCCUGUAAAGGCUGUCGCUUGAGAUGAGUGAAACUAGCAGAGUGAACGUGUAAAGAAGCAUGAAGUAAACGUCCCGGGAGCUGCUGAGCAGAUCAAAACAGCGAACACGACAGACUGAGCUGCAUUCCCCUCAGGUGAUGACGGAGAUAAUCCACGAGCAGCCGAGCACAGACGAUAAGGUCGGACUCACACUGACACACACGCGCACACACACACGCAUGCACUCACAAUGGCCUCGUCUCAAAUGUACGCGCACAACCACAGCUCUAAUCCUCCCUGCAUGAUUGACAGAUGAGAGGGGGGGGCGUUAAGUGGCAGGGUGACAGCAUAAUGACAGUUCUUAGGAAAC